This 105-nucleotide ribosomal RNA is filed under the name uncultured crenarchaeote. Its description in RNAcentral is "partial 16S ribosomal RNA". It matches the Rfam family "Archaeal small subunit ribosomal RNA", at positions 366 to 472 of the family's 1478-position model. Lineage: Archaea; Thermoproteati; Thermoproteota. The record is from RNAcentral.
CCUGACAGGGUUACUCUGAGUGAUUUCCGCUAAGGGGAUCUUUUGGCACCUCUAAAAAUGGUGCAGAAUAAGGGGUGGGCAAGUCUGGUGUCAGCCGCCGCGGUA